This 819-nucleotide ribosomal RNA is filed under the name uncultured Actinomycetes bacterium. RNAcentral describes it as "bacterial SSU rRNA". It matches the Rfam family "Bacterial small subunit ribosomal RNA", at positions 335 to 1167 of the family's 1533-position model. Lineage: Bacteria; Bacillati; Actinomycetota; Actinomycetes. The record is from RNAcentral.
ACUCCUACGGGAGGCAGCAGUGGGGAAUAUUGCACAAUGGGCGCAAGCCUGAUGCAGCGACGCCGCGUGGGGGAUGAAGGCCUUCGGGUUGUAAACCCCUUUCAGCAGGGAAGAAGCGAAAGUGACGGUACCUGCAGAAGAAGCGCCGGCUAACUACGUGCCAGCAGCCGCGGUAAUACGUAGGGCGCAAGCGUUGUCCGGAAUUAUUGGGCGUAAAGAGCUCGUAGGCGGUUUGUCGCGUCUGCUGUGAAAGUCCGAGGCUCAACCUCGGAUCUGCAGUGGGUACGGGCAGACUAGAGUGUGGUAGGGGAGACUGGAAUUCCUGGUGUAGCGGUGGAAUGCGCAGAUAUCAGGAGGAACACCAAUGGCGAAGGCAGGUCUCUGGGCCACAACUGACGCUGAGGAGCGAAAGCAUGGGGAGCGAACAGGAUUAGAUACCCUGGUAGUCCAUGCCGUAAACGGUGGGCACUAGAUGUGGGGCUCUUUCCAUGAGUUCCGCGUCGCAGCUAACGCAUUAAGUGCCCCGCCUGGGGAGUACGGCCGCAAGGCUAAAACUCAAAGGAAUUGACGGGGGCCCGCACAAGCGGCGGAGCAUGCGGAUUAAUUCGAUGCAACGCGAAGAACCUUACCAAGGCUUGACAUAUACGGUCUAUCCCUAGAGAUAGGGAGUGCUUCGGCGCCGUAUACAGGUGGUGCAUGGUUGUCGUCAGCUCGUGUCGUGAGAUGUUGGGUUAAGUCCCGCAACGAGCGCAACCCUCGUUCUAUGUUGCCAGCGCGUAAUGGCGGGGACUCAUAGGAGACUGCCGGGGUCAACUCGGA